Molecule: ribosomal RNA, 497 nt
Filed under: uncultured bacterium
Lineage: Bacteria
Description: partial 16S ribosomal RNA
Rfam family: Bacterial small subunit ribosomal RNA
Source: RNAcentral
GAUGAACGCUGGCGGCGUGCCUAAUACAUGCAAGUCGAGCGAACGGACGAGAAGCUUGCUUCUCUGAUGUUAGCGGCGGACGGGUGAGUAACACGUGGAUAACCUACCUAUAAGACUGGGAUAACUUCGGGAAACCGGAGCUAAUACCGGAUGAUAUUUUGAACCGCAUGGUUCAAAAGUGAAAGACGGUCUUGCUGUCACUUAUAGAUGGAUCCGCGCUGCAUUAGCUAGUUGGUAAGGUAACGGCUUACCAAGGCAACGAUGCACAGCCGACCUGAGAGGGUGAUCGGCCACACUGGAACUGAGACACGGUCCAGACUCCUACGGGAGGCAGCAGUAGGGAAUCUUCCGCAAUGGGCGAAAGCCUGACGGAGCAACGCCGCGUGAGUGAUGAAGGUCUUCGGGUCGUAAAACUCUGUUAUUAGGGAAGAACAUAUGUGUAAGUAACUGUGCACAUCUUGACGGUACCUAAUCAGAAAGCCACGGCUAACUACGUG